This 443-nucleotide ribosomal RNA is filed under the name uncultured bacterium. RNAcentral's name for it is "partial 16S ribosomal RNA". It matches the Rfam family "Bacterial small subunit ribosomal RNA", at positions 338 to 795 of the family's 1533-position model. The record is from RNAcentral.
CCUACGGGAGGCUGCAGUGGGGGAUAUUGGACAAUGGGGGAAACCCUGAUCCAGCGACGCCGCGUUAGUGAAGAAGUAUUUCGGUAUGUAAAGCUCUGUCAGCAGGGAAGCAAGAAAUGCCGGUACCUGACCAAGAAGCCCCGGCUAACUACGUGCCAGCAGCCGCGGUAAUACGUAGGGGGCAAGCGUUAUCCGGAAGUACUGGGUGUAAAGGGAGCGUAGACGGUGAUGCAAGUCUGGAGUGAAAGGCGGUGGCCCAACCCCCGGACUGCUCUGGAAACUGUGUAACUUGAGUGCAGGAGAGGGAAGCGGAAUGCCUAGUGUAGCGGUGAAAUGCGUAGAUAUUAGGAGGAACACCAGUGGCGAAGGCGGCUUACUGGACUGUAACUGACGUUGAGGCUCGAAAGCGUGGGGAGCAAACAGGAUUAGAUACCCCUGUAGUC